CCUACGGGAGGCAGCAGUGAGGAAUAUUGGUCAAUGGCCGUAAGGCUGAACCAGCCAAGUAGCGUGAGUGAAGAAGUAUCUCGGUACGUAAAGCUCUAUCAGCAGGGAAGAAAAUGACGGUACCUGACUAAGAAGCCCCGGCUAACUACGUGCCAGCAGCCGCGGUAAUACGUAGGGGGCAAGCGUUAUCCGGAUUUACUGGGUGUAAAGGGAGCGUAGACGGCAGCACAAGUCUGGAGUGAAAUCCCGGGGCUUAACCCCGGAACUGCUUUGGAAACUGUGCGGCUGGAGUGCAGGAGGGGUAAGCGGAAUUCCUAGUGUAGCGGUGAAAUGCGUAGAUAGUAGGAGGAACACCAGUGGCGAAGGCGGCCUGCUGGACAGAAACUGACGUUGAGGCUCGAAAGCGUGGGGAGCAAACAGGAUUAGAUACCCGGGUAGUC
Molecule: ribosomal RNA, 440 nt
Filed under: uncultured bacterium
Lineage: Bacteria
Description: partial 16S ribosomal RNA
Rfam family: Bacterial small subunit ribosomal RNA
Source: RNAcentral